CUUGCUUAAUUAUUUAUUAUGGCGUUAAUUUAUAUGUGAAUUUGUGUAAAUGAGAUUCCUAGAAGGAAUUUUGAAUUAAAUUUUGUGCAGUAGAUAAUAUUAUUGAUAUUAAGUUAAUUUAGAUUUUAUAAACGUUUUAAGGUUUGGUAAAAACUGUGCCAGCAUCCGCGGUUAUACAGUGAAAUCAAAUAAAUAUUAUUGGCUUUGGAGUAAUUAAUAUGAGUUUGGAAUAUAAUAAUUAAAGUAUUUUAAGGUGAAAUAUUUAUUAUACUUUGAGGAAUAUAAAAUUUAGUAUGAUUAUUAUGAGAUUGAAAUUAUAAACUAGGAUUAGAUACCCUAUUAUUUUUAUUGUGAAAAUAUAAGCUAGAGUAUUAAUAGUUAUGGUCUUUAAACUUAAAGAAUUUGGCGGUAUUAUAGUCUAUUUAGAGGAAUCUGUUAUGUAAUCGAUAGUCCACGUUGAACCUUACUUAUAUUUUUUCUUGUAUAUCGCUGUUUAAGAAUAUACUUUUAGGUGAUUUUCUGGAUAUAUAAUUAAUUAAUAUUUCAAGUCAAGGUGCAGUUAUGUAUAAGUUGAAUAAUGGAUUACAAUAAAAUUUAUUUAUAUGAAUUGUUAUUGAAAUAUAACUUGAAGGUGGAUUUAAUUGUAAUUUUAUAAAGAUUAUUAAAAUGAUUUAAAGCUCUAUAAUAUGCACACAUCGCCCGUCACUCUCGUUAUUAAGAUGAGAUAAGUCGUAACAAAGUAGGUGUAUCGGAAGAUGUACCUAGAAAGUAA
Molecule: non-coding RNA, 772 nt
Filed under: Popa spurca spurca
Lineage: Eukaryota; Metazoa; Arthropoda; Insecta; Mantodea; Mantidae
Source: RNAcentral